UCGCUCACUUCCUAGCUUCUUUUAUGGCUAUGGCUAAAAGAAGCAGCGAGUUUGAGAAAUUUUCAAGCAUUUUACAACAAUUUGGACAUGUUUUUGGUUUUGUUAUUCCAAUCUAAUAUAGGACGUUUUGCCGUUUCUGCGGUGUACACUCGCUCAAUAACCUCCCGAAUUACACCGAUUCAUACACAAAAUAGCUAUCAUGUGGAUUAUCCUGUUGAUUACGUGUUUUUCUGUUCAGGUUUUUGGUUCUCCGGUGGGAGAACUGUGGUGGUCGAGUCGGCGAACUGUACUGCUUUUUACAGUAAGCGGUUAAAGGAGUAAUUCGCGACUAGAGAAACCUCCAUUCGAGAUUCUGGUGACCACGAAUGGCAUGGCGGAUUUCUUUUUCCUAAAUUUAAGGCUUCCAAAUCGUAGAGCUUCAAAAUUUGUCUUCCUUCAAUACAUAAAUCUGAUUUGGCUUUGUGUUCGUAUAUGAAUUGCAAGAGAAUUCAUAGUUUUUACUAUCAAUUUUUAUUUGUGAACGCCACUGCCUUCUCAAUCAAGACAAGAAAUCCAGUAUAUCUUUUUGUGUUCUUCAAAAGUUCUGAAUAAAAUCUUUACCUGAAUGAACACCUAAGCCUAGCUGUUUUAUUAUUUUCAAUGAGUGAUUCGAUAUAAUAAUUGAAUGUGCAUAUCAAUGUUUUGCAUUUGGUUUUCUGUUUUAGCUGAUGUAUCGAAUUCGUACAGAAAUUAUGAAGGGAGACAAGCUUGUUUUAAGGGGAUGAUGUUUCAUGGGUACCAUGGGGUGAAGCCAGAAGAAAGAAAAUUGGGCCAGAAAUUCUUGGUGGAUGUGGAUGCCUGGAUGGAUCUUCAAGCCGCUGGGAAUUCCGAUAACCUCUCAGAUACUGUCAGCUAUACCGACAUUUACAGGUGAGUAGUAAGUUUGUUUUCUGCAUAAAUUAUCUGCCAUUGAUAGAUAAUCAAGGUGUAGUAUGAGAUUAGUUGGUAAAGAGAUCCAUCCUCAUCCUCGUGUUUUUGUGAAUUUAAACUCAUGGUGCUGAGUAUUUAUCCUUUAUAUAGUUUGUGUUUAUUUCAA
This is a long non-coding RNA of Andrographis paniculata, 1075 nucleotides long. RefSeq lists it as uncharacterized. The transcript has 2 exons. The record is from RefSeq and is a predicted model, not a curated record. NCBI's taxonomy places the organism in Eukaryota, Viridiplantae, Streptophyta, Magnoliopsida, Lamiales, Acanthaceae.